CUUUGUUCUUUCCUCCGUGAUCAUGGUGAAUACUGUCUAAGCCCCGUGAUCCGGGACAGCAGUGAACGUCAGGAAGUCCACCUCCUUUGAAUUCCAGGAAACAGCUCACCUCAAAGGUCCAUCCUCCGUAUGAGUUAGAAAUAAGAGUGCUCUGGUCCAAGAAGGUGAUGUAGGAGACGCUGAAGUCCCCUCCUCCAUGGAGAUACCAAAUCUACACCUAUUUAAAGAACAAUUCCUUCUGAAGCAGAACUAAGUGCUGACUGAACACCUUCUGCGGAAUAGAAGACAGGCCAUGAAGAGAAUGGCAAGAGAGAUGAAGAGAAGGACUUUACUCCUUCUGGUCUUGGCAUGGGCUCUCGGGCCCCACAAGAACUCAGAGCAUGGAGGAUGUCCAUCUGGCACCUGGUGGUCCUGGGGUACGUUUCCUGCACCAAAUGUCUGGUCAUGAGCUUCCUGGCCUCCCACAGGUGAAGAGUUUCUUCCCAGCCUACAGUGCCAUUAUGUUUAGGAAUU
Molecule: long non-coding RNA, 513 nt
Organism: Lontra canadensis (Northern American river otter)
Lineage: Eukaryota; Metazoa; Chordata; Mammalia; Carnivora; Mustelidae
Exons: 3
Source: RefSeq, a predicted model, not a curated record